UAGGGAAUAUUGGGCAAUGGGCGAAAGCCUGACCCAGCCAUGCCGCGUGGAGGAAGAAAGCCCACUGGGUCGUAAACUCCUUUUCUCUGGGAAUAAAAGCUGUGUAACUCACGGCCUUGAAGGUACCAGAGGAAUAAGCACCGGCAAACUACGUGCCAGCAGCCGCGGUAAUACGUAGGGUGCAAGCGUUGUCCGGAUUUACUGGGUUUAAAGGGUGCGCAGGCGGGCUAUUAAGUCUGUGAUGAAAUGUCAGGGCUCAACCUUGGCGCUGUUGCGGAAACUAAUAGUCUUGAGAGCUGUUAAGGUAGCUGGAAUGAGUGGUGUAGCGGUGAAAUGCGUAGAGAUCACUCAGAACACCAAUUGCGAAGGCAGGUUACUAGGCAGCGUCUGACGCUCAGGC
This 400-nucleotide ribosomal RNA is filed under the name uncultured bacterium. RNAcentral describes it as "bacterial SSU rRNA". It matches the Rfam family "Bacterial small subunit ribosomal RNA", at positions 355 to 752 of the family's 1533-position model. The record is from RNAcentral.